RNAcentral lists this ribosomal RNA (570 nucleotides) under uncultured Ascomycota. RNAcentral's name for it is "eukaryotic LSU rRNA". The stretch from base 203 to 356 matches the Rfam family "5.8S ribosomal RNA". The record is from RNAcentral. Lineage: Eukaryota; Fungi; Ascomycota.
CUUGGUCAUUUAGAGGAAGUAAAAGUCGUAACAAGGUUUCCGUAGGUGAACCAGCGGAGGGAUCAUUACAGAGUUGCAAAACUCCCAACCCUUUGUGAACGAACCUACCAGUUGCCUCGGCGGCGAGCCUUUCAGGCGGACCGCCGAAGGAAUACAAACUCUUUGCAUUAUAGUAUCUCUGAUUACUUAUUCAAUAAGUUAAAACUUUCAACAACGGAUCUCUUGGUUCUGGCAUCGAUGAAGAACGCAGCGAAAUGCGAUAAGUAAUGUGAAUUGCAGAAUUCAGUGAAUCAUCGAAUCUUUGAACGCACAUUGCGCCCGCUAGUAUUCUGGCGGGCAUGCCUGUUCGAGCGUCAUUUCAACCAUCAAGCCCUAGGCUUGUGUUGGAGCCCUGCGGCUGCCGCAGCCUCCUAAAAACAGUGGCGGGCUCGCUAUUACACCGAGUGCAGUAGUUUACUCUUCGCUCAGGGCGUGUGGCGGGUGCUGGCCGUGAAACCCCCUACUUCUUAAGGUUGACCUCGGAUCAGGUAGGAAUACCCGCUGAACUUAAGCAUAUCGAUAAGCGGAGGA